This 813-nucleotide long non-coding RNA is filed under the name Oryzias javanicus (javanese ricefish). RNAcentral describes it as "lncRNA (ENSOJAG00000008888.1)". Lineage: Eukaryota; Metazoa; Chordata; Actinopteri; Beloniformes; Adrianichthyidae. The record is from RNAcentral.
UCAUCCAGACCGCUAGAGGGCGAUAGUUAUGCUUGUUGUAAUGUGUUCAGCCAAUAGGAAGCAGGAAGUAACCAGCUAGUUUUUCAGUGCUGCAGUCAGACAGACGAUGACGGUUUUUGCUGUUUAUUCUGAAGCCAUCCACUCAUUUCCUGCCCUUUGAGUGGCAAUAGAAACCAUGACACAAACUCGAUAAAGUUCAAGGUCAGUUUGUGACAAAAGUGUGGCACCAGCAACCUGAGAGGGACGAUUUUAACUUGGCAUUGAAGGCUCCCUGAGAAACAUCCACCAUCCAAACCCAUCAUCUCCAACAGGAGCUGUGGAGCCACUCCGGCUGUCCAACUUUCAGGUGGCUGUACAAGCCUCAAGAGCUGGAAGACACACCUGUCUACGGGCCUCCGAACAACCCAAAAACCUCCAGCACCCACGUAGAGUCCAGUUCAGAUUCUGGUACAGAGUCCACAUUGGACGGCUUGCUGCCAACAUGAUGGACGACGAUGGCGCUGACGAACCGCAGAUUUGGCAGAGAGUUCUGUGGGACGCGUCUCUCCCAGGAGGCUGAGGGAGGAAGAGCUGCUGACGUCUGAAGCAUCUGCUCGGGCGACCUGCUGACCAGCAGCGCAAGGACAGAGAGGUCUGCCUUAGUGUGAAAGGCAGAUAAAUAAACUUCGUAGAGCUCUUUCUUACUCCUCCUACAGUGAAGCUCUACUUAAACUAAUAUUACUUAAUAAUUCAUUUAUUGUCAUUUAGUAAGUUAUUUUUAUAUUAGAUUUUUUUAUUUGUCCUUUUUUAUCUCAUUUUCGUUCUUAGAUGCUC